Hemicordylus capensis (graceful crag lizard) is the source of this 525-nucleotide long non-coding RNA. RefSeq lists it as uncharacterized. The transcript has 4 exons. NCBI's taxonomy places the organism in Eukaryota, Metazoa, Chordata, Lepidosauria, Squamata, Cordylidae. The record is from RefSeq and is a predicted model, not a curated record.
UGCUGCUGCACAUGGACAUGCGCACACACACACAAACAUUACUGCACUGAUUUUCUGGAGCAAACAUUCACUAGCAUAUUUGAAGAGGCACCUAUUCUACAGGUCUGAGGAUGAAUUACUGAGGGUUUAGGAACAGUCUACUUGCCACCCCUUCCCUAGCACACACAAGGAAGUUGAAAAACCACUAAGCCUGGUAACAAAAAAGGCACAACAACAAAAUGAAACAUGCAAUAUUCUUCCAUAGAUGUUCCAGAGAUUUCUGUCAACGUUUUCAGGACCCUCCUCAUUCCGACAAGUGUAGUGGACAUGACAGCUGUAUCGUCUGCAUGCAAAAAGGCUGUGGCCACCUUCAGACAUAAUGAAAAAGGUGAAGAAGUACCAUCAAUUGUCAGGAAAAUUUCACAUGAUUUAUUUACUUCAUUAGCAUUCACAAAAUGAUAGCUACAACCACAUUGGAAGCUUCAGGGCAAGAAAGUGUGACCUGGUUCACUCACAUGCUGAAAAACUAUAUUGGUUUUGGUUUUC